UUGGAGGGCAAGUCUGGUGCCAGCAGCCGCGGUAAUUCCAGCUCCAAUAGCGUAUAUUAAAGUUGUUGCAGUUAAAAAGCUCGUAGUUGAAUUUCGGGAUUGGCGCAUCGGUCGUGCCUCACGGGGUAUGAACUGGUGCAGUCAAUUUCUCACCUUCUGGAGAACCGCGAUGUCCUUAAUUGGAUGCCGCGGGGAACCAGGACCUUUACUUUGGAAAAAUUAGAGUGUUUAAAGCAGGCAUUUUUGCUUGAAUACAUUAGCAUGGAAUAAUAAAAUAGGACGGCAUGGUUCUAUUUUGUUGGUUUCUAGGACCACCGUAAUGAUUAAUAGGGAUAGUUGGGGGCAUUAGUAUUCAAUUGUCAGAGGUGAAAUUCUUGGAUUUAUUGAAGACUAACUACUGCGAAAGCAUUUGCCAAGGAUGUUUUCAUUAAUCAAGAACGAAAGUUAGGGGAUCGAAGACGAUCAGAUACCGUCGUAGUCUUAACCAUAAACUAUGCCGACUAGGAAUCAGACGAUGUUAAUUUUUUAAUGACUCGUUUGGCACCUUACGGGAAACCAAAGUGUUUGGGUUC
RNAcentral lists this ribosomal RNA (572 nucleotides) under uncultured Entrophospora. RNAcentral describes it as "SSU rRNA". It matches the Rfam family "Eukaryotic small subunit ribosomal RNA", at positions 548 to 1114 of the family's 1831-position model. The record is from RNAcentral. Lineage: Eukaryota; Fungi; Glomeromycota; Glomeromycetes; Entrophosporales; Entrophosporaceae.